Polyodon spathula (Mississippi paddlefish) is the source of this 1620-nucleotide long non-coding RNA. RefSeq lists it as uncharacterized. The transcript is spliced from 3 exons. The record is from RefSeq and is a predicted model, not a curated record. Lineage: Eukaryota; Metazoa; Chordata; Actinopteri; Acipenseriformes; Polyodontidae.
GAGAGAGAGAGAGAGAGAGGUUUUAGCCAAGAAGACUCCUCCUGCCAGUGGACUGAAGAAAAAAACUUUGGCUUACAGUCUUCCAACAUUUAAGAGCUCCUCUGGUCUUCACUCUUUUACUUCGCUCCAGUGGGAGUUAGCCAGGUUUGGACCGAGGAAUUACCAAAUGGACCACUGUAUUUAAACAGGCGGACUUUAGGACACGGGAUGGGGUGCGGAGAGUACCUGCUUCGAACUUGGCGGUGCUGAACAGGAGGCAACUUUUCUUGUUUCACAGGUUGGCUGAAUUACUCCCCAAGUGACAAUAAAGUGCGAGAAUUCAGGGUCUCACUGUUGCCAUCUAUCACUCUAAUUGGUGCGGGAAGGAAAACACAAACAGAGCAGCGCGAGCUGAGACAGAGGGCUCCUUUCAGCCCCCUCGACAGGCGCUGCUCCUGGGCUCAGCCUGUAAUGUUUUCCAAACGGUGUGUGGAGCUGGCCAGCAUGAGAGUGAGACCUGUGUCAGAACAGGAAAGGGAAGCUAUUCCUAUCAAGUAACUGGUCAGCCGUGGCUGGAGGACAAGGAGGCCGUUGUCCUGGAGGCCAGCUAGGCUUUUUCCACUGCUCAUUCCUGUAGACACGUUGAGUGCAAAGCAAUGCACUGGUGCCUUUGGGAACAUGGUAAAUUUGGUACAAGAAGAAAUCUACAUUCACUAACCAAAAAAACUGCACUUUUCAAUACUGAAAGACUAUCAGACUAUCAGACCCUUGCCCUAUUCAUUGUACCAAAGUAAAUGCCGCAUUUACCCAUAUACUGUCCCAAGAUUGAAAUUUGUACCACCCAAAUAAAAAAGCGUUCCUGGCACAAUUCUGUUGCAUCUGCACUUGGACAUGAAUGUUGAAGUUUCAGGUUUGUAGUCUCUCAUCACCUUUCUGAAAUGUUUUCUCAUGUCUGUCUGCAGCCCAGCAGUGUUGUGCUCUAUAUGCUGUUCCCCAGUGAAACUACAUCAACAGCAAACUCCAUUCAUGGCUUCUUUCUGCACGGCCCCCACAGAACCAGAACUUUAUCAGGGGAAACUUCCCUGUUAGAUAAUCCCACCAGCUCAGCUAAUCUAGGAGUGGGGGGUUGUACUGUACACAUGGAAAACUUGAAAUUCCAACAAGUGAUAAUGCUGUGUGCUCUGCAAAGAAAGAAAGAGACGAAAAAGGCAAUGGCCUUAAACUGGGGUGACUCAGACUGUCUGAGAGCAUUCGAUGCUACCUGGAGCCCUCUUUGAAGAUGACAUCAUGUCGUCCGUCCUUGAGUUUCUCCAGAAGCAGUAAUGCUAUGCCUGGGCCCGUUUCAGGAAACAUUGCAGUGUACCAUCACAUGACAGAGAACUGGACUGCACUGCUUCUACCUGGAGAAACACACGGGCAUGAAGCACAGGCCGUCAGCACUAUGCAAAAAUGGAAGGGAAGAAAUGGAAUCGUCCUCAAAGGUCACGCGGCAUUCAAAACCUUUGUGCAGCAACCUGUUUUAAAAAAAAAAAUCAUAAUUAGAUAUGGGAAUUAUGUGUAAUUACAUCAUUAGCGAUGUAACAUUGAGAAUGCAGUGGUCCUAUAUAUAAUAACACAAAUAAGGGGGACUGCGAUGGUAUG